Molecule: non-coding RNA, 30 nt
Filed under: Mus musculus (house mouse)
Lineage: Eukaryota; Metazoa; Chordata; Mammalia; Rodentia; Muridae
Source: RNAcentral
UGCAAGAAAAAGAUGCUUGGCCUGUGCCCA